RNAcentral lists this ribosomal RNA (421 nucleotides) under uncultured bacterium. RNAcentral's name for it is "bacterial SSU rRNA". It matches the Rfam family "Bacterial small subunit ribosomal RNA", at positions 30 to 450 of the family's 1533-position model. The record is from RNAcentral.
AUUGAACGCUGGCGGCAUGCUUUACACAUGCAAGUCGAACGGCAGCACGGGUGCUUGCACCUGGUGGCGAGUGGCGGACGGGUGAGUAAUGCAUCGGAACGUGUCCUGAAGUGGGGGAUAACGCAUCGAAAGAUGUGCUAAUACCGCAUAUUCUCUGAGGAGGAAAGUAGGGGAUCGAAAGACCUUAUGCUUUUGGAGCGGCCGAUGUCUGAUUAGCUAGUUGGUAGGGUAAUGGCUUACCAAGGCGACGAUCAGUAGUUGGUCUGAGAGGACGGCCAGCCACACUGGGACUGAGACACGGCCCAGACUCCUACGGGAGGCAGCAGUGGGGAAUUUUGGACAAUGGGCGCAAGCCUGAUCCAGCAAUGCCGCGUGAGUGAAGAAGGCCUCGGUUGUAAGACGUACUUUCUAGUUGUAGAAG